CUAGCGGUGCGCCUAACACAUGUAAGUCGUGCGAUCGAGCCGAACUGAGUCCCUUCGGGGAUGAUGAUUGGUGACGGAGCGGCGGACGGGUGAGUAACGCGUGGCUAACCUACCCUCUUGACGGGGACAACCACCCGAAAGGGCGGCUAAUACCCGAUGUUGUCUGGAACCGAUGGGUUCCUCUCCAAAGGCGGUCCUGCCGCCGCAAGAGGAUGGGGCUGCGUCCUAUUAGCUAGUUGGUGAGGUAACGGCCCACCAAGGCUUCGAUGGGUAGCUGGUCUGAGAGGACGACCAGCCACAUUGGGACUGAGAUACGGCCCAGACUCCUACGGGAGGCAGCAGUGGGGAAUCUUGGCCAAUGGACGAAAGUCUGAGCCAGCGACACCGCGUGGGGGAUGAAGGCCUUCGGGUCGUAAACCUCUUUUCUGGGGAAAGAAUAAGGACGGGAGGAAAUGCCCGCCCGAUGACGGUACUCCAGGAAUAAGCAUCGGCUAACUCUGUGCCAGCAGCCGCGGUAAGACAGAGGAUGCGAGCGUUAUCCGGAAUUACUGGGCGUAAAGGGCGUCUAGGCGGUUCGGUAAGUCGUUUGUGAAAUCCCUCGGCUCAACCGAGGAUGGUCUUGCGAUACUGCCGGGCUUGGGUGCAGGAGAGGAGAGUGGAACUCACAGAGUAGCGGUGGAAUGCGUAGAUACUGUGAGGUACCCCGAUGGCGAAGGCAACUCUCUGGCCUGCUACCGACGCUGAAGCGCGAAAGCGUGGGGAGCAAAGGGGAUUAGAUACCCCCGUAGUCCACGCCCUAAACAAUGUUCACUUGGUGUCGGCCGCUUAUACUGGUCGGUGCCGAAGCUAACGCGUUAAGUGAACCGCCUGAGGAGUACGGCCGCAAGGCUAAAACUCAAGAGAAUUGACGGGUCCCUGCACAAGCGGUGGAGCACGUGGUUUAAUUCGACGAUAAACGAAGAACCUCACCCAGGCUUGACAUACUAGUGGUAGGAACCUGAAAGGGGGACGACUCUGCCUUCGGGUAGAGAGCUAGUACAGGUGAUGCAUGGCUGUCGUCAGCUCGUGUCGUGGGAUGUUGGGUUCAGUCCCGAAACGAGCGCAACCCUUGUCGUUAGUUGCCAGCGGGUAAUGCCGGGGACUCUAACGAGACUGCUGGUGAAUAGCCGGAGGAAGGCGGGGAUGACGUCAAGUCAUCAUGUCCCUUACGCCUGGGCGACACACAUGCUACAAUGGGGGGUACAGAGGGUCGCAAUCCCGCAAGGGGGAGCCAAUCCAUAAAAACCCCUCCCAGUUCGGAUUGAGGUCUGCAACUCGACCUCAUGAAGCCGGAAUCGCUAGUAAUCGCGGGUCAGCCAUACCGCGGUGAAUAUGUACUCAGGGAUUGUACACACCGCCCGUCACACAAACCGAGUGGGGGGUACCUGAAGUCGCUCUUCUGAGGGCGCCUAGGGUAACUUCCGCAAGAGGGGUGAAGUCGUAACAAGGUA
RNAcentral lists this ribosomal RNA (1490 nucleotides) under metagenome. RNAcentral describes it as "bacterial SSU rRNA". It matches the Rfam family "Bacterial small subunit ribosomal RNA". The record is from RNAcentral.